Molecule: ribosomal RNA, 222 nt
Filed under: uncultured bacterium
Lineage: Bacteria
Description: partial 16S ribosomal RNA
Rfam family: Bacterial small subunit ribosomal RNA
Source: RNAcentral
CGAACGUAUGCAAUCUACCUUAUACAGGGGCAUAACUUCGAGAAAUCGAUGCUAAUUCCCCAUAACACUAUGAAGUGGCAUCAUUUUAUAGUUAAAGCUACGGCGGUAUAAGAUGAGCAUGCGUUCAAUUAGCUAGUUGGAGAGGUAACGGCUCACCAAGGCUACGAUUGAUAGGGGUUCUGAGAGGAUGAUCCCCCACACUGGUACUGAGACACGGACCAG